Molecule: long non-coding RNA, 684 nt
Organism: Chenopodium quinoa (quinoa)
Lineage: Eukaryota; Viridiplantae; Streptophyta; Magnoliopsida; Caryophyllales; Amaranthaceae
Exons: 2
Source: RefSeq, a predicted model, not a curated record
AAAAUUGGUUCAUCAGGGUCAAAACAUAAAACCCUAACUUCUCUCUCUCCGCCUCCAUUUCAUUUCCUCUAAUCUCCCUCUUUCUCCUCUCCUUUCUCUCUCCUCUCUCCUCUCAUCUCCUCUCCCUUCUUCGCUCUCCUAUCUCUUUCUUUUCGUUGAUCUUCUUUCAUCUCCUCUCCCUUCUUCGAUCUCCUCUCUCUGUCUUCGAUCUUCACCACCACAAAUUCGACCACCGUCGCAAAGCCCACCACCACCACAUCAUCACUGCCGCAAAGCCACUUCCGCAAAACCGCCACCACCACCACAAAGUUCGACCACCGCCGCAAAGCCCACCGAUAUCAACAACAAUUUCUGGGUAUAAUUAUUCGAGUUUGUGAGUAUCUUCGUCGAAUUCGGGGUCGGAGGAGCAAAAUUGUUGGGCGAUACUGCUUCUACUAUUCAGCAACUGAUUCUGCUUCUUCGUUAAUCUAAUUUUUUUUUUUUUUUUUGUUGGCAAGUGUAAAAGUACAGAUUAUCAAUUUCAAUUUUAUUAUAUAUUAAUGUAUUAUUAUUGGAGAUAUUAUUAUUGUUGGCAAAAAUGUAUACAUAUAACAUUGUGGUGAUUAUAUAUGAAUUUCAAUUAUACUUGUAGCAUUUGGUGUGUAAUUAAUUAUUGAUUAUAAAUUUCUAUUAUAUUUGGUGUUG